AACAUCGCGCACCUGCGGGAACCUGCGGAGGGAUCAUUAAUGAUUGGUGGCUGUUGCUGACUAGUGUUUCUAGUAUGUGCACGCCACACCUUCAAUCCCACUUACACCUGUGCACCUUCUGUAGUAGAUCUAUGUGGAUACGGAGAUAUGAAAGUUUGCGCUCUCGUACUCUGUUGAAGCAGUCUACUACGUUUUUUUACACACACACAAUAGUCAUUGAAUGUAUUUUUUAUUCUUAUG
Molecule: unclassified non-coding RNA, 240 nt
Filed under: soil metagenome
Description: partial contains 5.8S ribosomal RNA, internal transcribed spacer 2, and large subunit ribosomal RNA
Source: RNAcentral